This 447-nucleotide ribosomal RNA is filed under the name uncultured bacterium. RNAcentral describes it as "bacterial SSU rRNA". It matches the Rfam family "Bacterial small subunit ribosomal RNA", at positions 355 to 825 of the family's 1533-position model. The record is from RNAcentral.
UGGGGAAUUUUGGGCAAUGGGCGAAAGCCUGACCCGGCAACGCCGCGUGAAGGAUGAAGUAUUUCGGUAUGUAAACUUCGAAAGAAUAGGAAGAAUAAAUGACGGUACUAUUUAUAAGGUCCGGCUAACUACGUGCCAGCAGCCGCGGUAAUACGUAGGGACCAAGCGUUGUUCGGAUUUACUGGGCGUAAAGGGCGCGUAGGCGGCAAUUCAAGUCAUCUGUGAAAUCUCCGGGCUUAACUCGGAACGGUCAGAUGAUACUGCUUUGCUAGAGUGCAGAAGGGGCAAUCGGAAUUCUUGGUGUAGCGGUGAAAUGCGUAGAUAUCAAGAGGAACGCCUGAGGUGAAGACGGGUUGCUGGGCUGACACUGACGCUGAGGCGCGAAAGCCAGGGGAGCAAACGGGAUUAGAUACCCGCGUAGUCCCUGAGCGGGCUGGCAAGGCGCAU